Molecule: ribosomal RNA, 517 nt
Filed under: Cytospora leucostoma
Lineage: Eukaryota; Fungi; Ascomycota; Sordariomycetes; Diaporthales; Cytosporaceae
Description: partial large subunit ribosomal RNA
Rfam family: Eukaryotic large subunit ribosomal RNA
Source: RNAcentral
GCGAGUGAAGCGGCAACAGCUCAAAUUUGAAAGCUGGCUCCGGCCCGCAUUGUAAUUUGCAGAGGAUGCUUUUGGCGAGGUGCCUUCCGAGUUCCCUGGAACGGGACGCCAUAGAGGGUGAGAGCCCCGUAUGGAUGGACACCAGACCUGUGUAAAGCUCCUUCAACGAGUCGAGUAGUUUGGGAAUGCUGCUCUAAAUGGGAGGUAAAUCUCUUCUAAAGCUAAAUACCGGCCAGAGACCGAUAGCGCACAAGUAGAGUGAUCGAAAGAUGAAAAGCACCUUGAAAAGGGGGUUAAACAGUACGUGAAAUUGUUGAAAGGGAAGCAUUUAUGACCAGACUUGCGCCGGGCAGCUCAUCAGGGGUUCUCCCCUGUGCACUCUGCCCGGCUCAGGCCAGCAUCGGUUCUCGUGGGAGGAUAAGAACAGUGGGAACGUGGCCCCCCUCCGGGGGGGUGUUAUAGCCCAUUGUACGAUACUCUCGUGGGGACCGAGGUUCGCGCUCCGCAAGGAUGCUGG